Molecule: transfer RNA, 71 nt
Filed under: Agrilus planipennis (emerald ash borer)
Lineage: Eukaryota; Metazoa; Arthropoda; Insecta; Coleoptera; Buprestidae
Rfam family: tRNA
About the family: Transfer RNA (tRNA) molecules are approximately 80 nucleotides in length. Their secondary structure includes four short double-helical elements and three loops (D, anti-codon, and T loops). Further hydrogen bonds mediate the characteristic L-shaped molecular structure. tRNAs have two regions of fundamental functional importance: the anti-codon, which is responsible for specific mRNA codon recognition, and the 3' end, to which the tRNAs corresponding amino acid is attached (by aminoacyl-tRNA synthetases). tRNAs cope with the degeneracy of the genetic code in two manners: having more than one tRNA (with a specific anti-codon) for a particular amino acid; and 'wobble' base-pairing, i.e. permitting non-standard base-pairing at the 3rd anti-codon position.
Source: Rfam by way of RNAcentral
UUUCUCGUAGCUUGGUGGUAAAGCAAUGGUGCGUAAAUCCAAGGAUCCGGGUUCGAUUCCCGGCGAGAGCG